RNAcentral lists this ribosomal RNA (253 nucleotides) under uncultured bacterium. Its description in RNAcentral is "partial 16S ribosomal RNA". It matches the Rfam family "Bacterial small subunit ribosomal RNA", at positions 524 to 776 of the family's 1533-position model. The record is from RNAcentral.
UACGAAGGGGGCUAGCGUUGUUCGGAAUUACUGGGCGUAAAGCGCGCGCAGGCGGUCCUUUAAGUCAGGGGUGAAAGCCCAGAGCUCAACUCUGGAACGGCCUUUGAAACUAGAGGACUUGGGUACGGGAGAGGUGAGUGGAAUUCCUAGUGUAGAGGUGAAAUUCGUAGAUAUUAGGAAGAACACCGGUGGCGAAGGCGGCCCACUGGUCCGGUACUGACGCUGAGGUGCGAAAGCGUGGGGAGCAAACAGG